RNAcentral lists this transfer RNA (90 nucleotides) under Rhodospirillaceae bacterium. RNAcentral's name for it is "tRNA-Ser". It matches the Rfam family "tRNA". Rfam says of the family: Transfer RNA (tRNA) molecules are approximately 80 nucleotides in length. Their secondary structure includes four short double-helical elements and three loops (D, anti-codon, and T loops). Lineage: Bacteria; Pseudomonadati; Pseudomonadota; Alphaproteobacteria; Rhodospirillales; Rhodospirillaceae. RNAcentral also lists the same sequence under 3 other names. The record is from RNAcentral.
GGUGGGGUGCCGGAGUGGUCGAACGGGGCGGUCUCGAAAACCGUUGUGCGUCCAUACGUACCGUGGGUUCGAAUCCCACCCCCACCGCCA